This 468-nucleotide ribosomal RNA is filed under the name uncultured bacterium. RNAcentral describes it as "partial 16S ribosomal RNA". It matches the Rfam family "Bacterial small subunit ribosomal RNA", at positions 28 to 507 of the family's 1533-position model. The record is from RNAcentral.
GACGAACGCUGGCGGCGUGCUUAACACAUGCAAGUCGAACGGAAAGGCCCUGCUUUUGUGGGGUGCUCGAGUGGCGAACGGGUGAGUAACACGUGAGUAACCUGCCCUUGACUUUGGGAUAACUUCAGGAAACUGGGGCUAAUACCGGGUAGGAGCUCCUGCUGCAUGGUGGGGGUUGGAAAGUUUCGGCGGUUGGGGAUGGACUCGCGGCUUAUCAGCUUGUUGGUGGGGUAGUGGCUUACCAAGGCUUUGACGGGUAGCCGGCCUGAGAGGGUGACCGGCCACAUUGGGACUGAGAUACGGCCCAGACUCCUACGGGAGGCAGCAGUGGGGAAUAUUGCACGAUGGGCGGAAGCCUGAUGCAGCAACGCCGCGUGCGGGAUGACGGCCUUCGGGUUGUAAACCGCUUUCGCCUGUGACGAAGCGUGAGUGACGGUAAUGGGUAAAGAAGCACCGGCUAACUACGUG